CCUGGGGCGAGGGGGAGCGGUGGGAGGACUGCGGGCUCAGCCCUCCUACCUCUGUCUCCCCUUAGGAGCCUGGUG
RNAcentral lists this microRNA precursor (75 nucleotides) under Chlorocebus sabaeus (green monkey). RNAcentral describes it as "miRNA (ENSCSAG00000024029.1)". Lineage: Eukaryota; Metazoa; Chordata; Mammalia; Primates; Cercopithecidae. The record is from RNAcentral.